GGAGGGUCAGUUCCGCCAUUCCCGCCCUGCUCUGCCACCAGGUCCCGGGCACCACAGUGUGUCCCAGGGAUGACCCCACCCCCAGCCCAGGCUCUGAGUUAGGGUCUGUCCUGUGGCACCCAGACUCCUCCUCUGAGACCUGGACCAGGGCCCUCUGCACGGACGUGGAAAGGAGGGCCCCAGAGGGCGGAUGGGGCUCCCUGUGGCCUGACUUAGCCCACCUGCUGCCAGCAGCUCCUACAGGCGGGGCCCAAGUGGCCGGCCCUCAUUCCCCCCGCCACAGAGGCGGGCACCAGUGGAUCUCAGGAUGGGACUGAGAAGCCGAGCCCACCAUCCGGCAGGCCACUUCCCAGGGACUGACUGAGUGCCUGCUGCUCCCAGGUACUGUUCUACACUCUGGGGGGCACAUCAGGAAACCGGCAAUGCCUGCUUUGUGUUGCUUACAUCCUGGCCUGGACAAUCAGAAGUGGACACAACAAAUAAGGGAAAUUAUGCAGUAUGUUGAGAGGUGACACAUGCAUGCAGAGACAGAGGCAGAAUAAAGGGCCAGAGAAUGGGGCCAGAGCUGCUGCCAUUUUAAACAGGACGUUCAGGGUAGCCUGCACUGAAAGGUCACAUCUGCCUGAGGACUGGAAGGCGGGAGCCCCGCGGGUCUCUGGGAAAGACUGUUUCUGGCAGAGGGAACAGCCACGUGGAGGCCCUGAGGCAGAGGGUGCCUCCACGGGAGCUUAUCUCAAGGGGUGUUCAAAUGCGGGUGCCUCCGGCACAAAGUAAACACUCAAUAAAUGACUAUUACUACUGAAA
Non-coding RNA from Macaca mulatta (Rhesus monkey), 804 nucleotides. Lineage: Eukaryota; Metazoa; Chordata; Mammalia; Primates; Cercopithecidae. The record is from RefSeq and is a predicted model, not a curated record.